UCGGGGGUAGACUAAGCGGUAGGUCACUUGCCUUUGAAGCAAGUAAUGGAGGUUCGAAACCUUCCCCCCGAGCCA
This 75-nucleotide transfer RNA is filed under the name Candidatus Saccharimonadota bacterium. Its description in RNAcentral is "Candidatus Saccharibacteria bacterium tRNA-Gln". It matches the Rfam family "tRNA". Rfam says of the family: Transfer RNA (tRNA) molecules are approximately 80 nucleotides in length. Their secondary structure includes four short double-helical elements and three loops (D, anti-codon, and T loops). The record is from RNAcentral. Lineage: Bacteria; Candidatus Saccharimonadota.